AUGUUUCACUGAAGCCUUUUGAGCAUGUGCAAGUCUGCAGCCAGACACUUUUGGAAGUAAACUACAACCCUGUUGUGCGUUUCAGGAAUCCAGCCUGGUGUUUAGGAGCUGUGGAUAAGAUUUCAGCACAUUCACCGGAUGGUCACAUCCAUUUAUUGUAGUUGGCUUUCCCAGGUCAAAUUCUAUCAGAAACGUGUGCUCCAGACUCCUGUGAACUUAAAUUGAUGUGGCUAAGAACAGAGUGUAGAAGUCCUGAAUGAAGGUGAAUAAAUUAUGUGGUCAAGCUCACCUUUUGAUAUACAUAGCUGCAGCAAGGUCUCUUGGUAAUUUCUAGCCAGAAAGAAGUACAUGACAGGAUCCAACACACCACUGACGCACGUCAAAGCUGAGAUGAAAGAAAGGUAACAGGGGAUAGGGAAGACAUUAGGGUUGCUGAGUGUGUCAGUGAGGGUCCGGACUCUCUUUAACAUGCUGUCCAGUUUGUGUGGCUCUUCUUUGAGGAACUUUACAGCCUCUACUUCAACCCUGAGCACUGAGCGCAUGCGGGACUGAAGAGCCGGAAACUCACCUGCAAAAAAAAUAAAUAAAUAAAAGAGGUUUCGCUAUCAA
This is a non-coding RNA of Danio rerio (zebrafish), 609 nucleotides long. The record is from Ensembl. NCBI's taxonomy places the organism in Eukaryota, Metazoa, Chordata, Actinopteri, Cypriniformes, Danionidae.